UGGGGAAUAUUGCACAAUGGGCGCAAGCCUGAUGCAGCCAUGCCGCGUGUAUGAAGAAGGCCUUCGGGUUGUAAAGUACUUUCAGUCGGGAGGAAGGUGUCAAGGUUAAUAACCUUGGCAAUUGACGUUACCGACAGAAGAAGCAGCGGCUAACUCCGUGCCAGCAGCCGCGGUAAUACGGAGGGUGCAAGCGUUAAUCGGAAUUACUGGGCGUAAAGCGCACGCAGGCGGUUGAUUGAGUCAGAUGUGAAAUCCCCGGGCUUAACCCGGGAAUUGCAUCUGAUACUGGUCAGCUAGAGUCUUGUAGAGGGGGGUAGAAUUCCAUGUGUAGCGGUGAAAUGCGUAGAGAUGUGGAGGAAUACCGGUGGCGAAGGCGGCCCCCUGGACAAAGACUGACGCUCAGGUGCGAAAGCGUGGGGAGCAAACAGG
Molecule: ribosomal RNA, 429 nt
Filed under: Chloroflexota bacterium
Lineage: Bacteria; Bacillati; Chloroflexota
Description: Chloroflexi bacterium partial 16S ribosomal RNA
Rfam family: Bacterial small subunit ribosomal RNA
Source: RNAcentral